GACGUAGGGGGCCAGCGUUGUUCGGAAUUACUGGGGGUAAAGGGUUCGUAGGCGGUGUGGCGAGUCGGGAGUGAAAUCUCUGGGCUCAACUCAGAGACUGCUUCCGAAACUGCUGUGCUGGAGUGUGGGAGAGGCGCGUGGAAUUGCAGGUGUAGCAGUGAAAUGCGUAGAUAUCUGCAGGAACACCCGUGGCGAAAGCGGCGCGCUGGACCACUACUGACGCUGAGGAACGAAAGCUAGGGGAGCAAACAGG
This 253-nucleotide ribosomal RNA is filed under the name uncultured bacterium. Its description in RNAcentral is "partial 16S ribosomal RNA". It matches the Rfam family "Bacterial small subunit ribosomal RNA", at positions 524 to 776 of the family's 1533-position model. The record is from RNAcentral.